RNAcentral lists this ribosomal RNA (838 nucleotides) under uncultured archaeon. RNAcentral's name for it is "bacterial SSU rRNA". It matches the Rfam family "Archaeal small subunit ribosomal RNA", at positions 21 to 859 of the family's 1478-position model. The record is from RNAcentral.
AGGUUACUGCUAUCGGUGUUCGCCUAAGCCAUGCGAGUCAUAUGUUCGUAAGAACAUGGCGUACUGCUCAGUAACACGUGGAUAACCUGCCCUUGGGUCCGGCAUAACCCCGGGAAACUGGGGAUAAUUCCGGAUAACGCACAUAUGCUGGAAUGCUUUAUGCGUAAAAUGGAUUCGUCUGCCCAAGGAUGGGUCUGCGGCCUAUCAGGUAGUAGUGGGUGUAAUGUACCUACUAGCCGACGACGGGUACGGGUUGUGAGAGCAAGAGCCCGGAGAUGGAUUCUGAGACAUGAAUCCAGGCCCUACGGGGCGCAGCAGGCGCGAAAACUUUACAAUGCGGGAAACCGUGAUAAGGGGACACCGAGUGCCAGCAUCAUAUGCUGGCUGUCCGGGUGUGUAAAAUACACCCGUUAGCAAGGGCCGGGCAAGACCGGUGCCAGCCGCCGCGGUAACACCGGCGGCCCGAAUGGUGAUCGUGAUUAUUGGGUCUAAAGGGUCCGUAGCCGGUUUGGUCAGUCCUCCGGGAAAUCUGAUAGCUCAACUAUUAGGCUUUCGGGGGAUACUGCCAGGCUUGGAACCGGGAGAGGUAAGAGGUACUACAGGGGUAGGAGUGAAAUCUUGUAAUCCCUGUGGGACCACCUGUGGCGAAGGCGUCUUACCAGAACGGGUUCGACGGUGAGGGACGAAAGCUGGGGGCACGAACCGGAUUAGAUACCCGGGUAGUCCCAGCCGUAAACGAUGCUCGCUAGGUGUCAGGCAUGGCGCGACCGUGUCUGGUGCCGCAGGGAAGCCGUGAAGCGAGCCACCUGGGAAGUACGGCCGCAAGGCUGAAACUUAA